Tribolium castaneum (red flour beetle) is the source of this 433-nucleotide long non-coding RNA. RefSeq lists it as uncharacterized. The transcript is spliced from 3 exons. Lineage: Eukaryota; Metazoa; Arthropoda; Insecta; Coleoptera; Tenebrionidae. The record is from RefSeq and is a predicted model, not a curated record.
AUUUUACUGGUAGAAAAUUACAACUGUUUUAGUUUGAGGGUUCAUUUUUUAAAAAAAUUUGGCGAGUUGGGACUUUAAUUCUGUGCGCUGCUAUUACUUCUGCUGGCUCUACACAUUCAGGAGAGAGUCUAGAAACGAGUGGCAAUAACAUUUUUCUUUACCUAAAAGAACAGGACUGGUACAUUUGGGAUAGGGAAAACCAGAAGAUAUACCUAAUUUUUUUAACAAACGUCAAACCUUUAAGAAUAGAAUUCUCUGCAGACGUUGGUAUUAAUUACAAAUUAGCGGUCUCGACGCUCAGAACCGUGUACUCCAUCGUUUCGGUAUUAUCGCAAUUAAUUAAAUAAUUUGAUGCAGGUUGUUUAAUGAAUUCAAAAAUUUAAACUUUGUCCAACACACACUAUAGCACAUUAAACACAUUUCAGAAUUUAAU